GGGCGGCUAGCUCAGUGGUAGAGCAUUUCUUUGACGUAGAAAGGGUCGAAGGUCCGAUUCCUUCGCCGCCCACCA
Molecule: transfer RNA, 75 nt
Filed under: Candidatus Doudnaibacteriota bacterium
Lineage: Bacteria; Candidatus Doudnaibacteriota
Description: Candidatus Doudnabacteria bacterium tRNA-Val
Rfam family: tRNA
About the family: Transfer RNA (tRNA) molecules are approximately 80 nucleotides in length.
Source: RNAcentral